GGCAUACAAGUGAGAUGUAAGGGUACACCUGCACUGAACGUGACCGACUCCAGAGCUUUUUCUGCUAUCAAGAUUUGCUCCGAUGGGAUAUGGGUAUAACUGUCCCUCCGACCUGAGACCGCCACGGUGACUUGCAAGCAACUCACUGCACUUAGGCACUGGACUACCUGAAUUUCUAAUUCAGUGAUGGAAGGCUGCUGGGUGUAAUCAAGUACUUGACUUGUCGGUGCGUAU
This 234-nucleotide long non-coding RNA is filed under the name Elaeis guineensis (African oil palm). RNAcentral describes it as "long non-coding RNA (EGUI_LNC074012)". The record is from RNAcentral. Lineage: Eukaryota; Viridiplantae; Streptophyta; Magnoliopsida; Arecales; Arecaceae.